Molecule: ribosomal RNA, 460 nt
Filed under: uncultured bacterium
Lineage: Bacteria
Description: partial 16S ribosomal RNA
Rfam family: Bacterial small subunit ribosomal RNA
Source: RNAcentral
CCUACGGGAGGCAGCAGUGAGGAAUAUUGGUCAAUGGGCGCGAGUCUGAACCAGCCAAGUCGCGUGAGGGAAGACGGCCCUACGGGUUGUAAACCUCUUUUGCCGGGGAGCAACGGGCGCCACGUGUGGCGCCACUGAGAGUACCCGGAGAAAAAGCAUCGGCUAACUCCGUGCCAGCAGCCGCGGUAAUACGGAGGAUGCGAGCGUUAUCCGGAUUUAUUGGGUUUAAAGGGUGCGCAGGCGGCCUGUUAAGUCAGCGGUAAAAGCCCGGGGCUCAACCCCGGCGAGCCGUUGAAACUGGCGGGCUGGAGUUGGAGAGAAGUACGCGGAAUGCGCGGUGUAGCGGGGAAAUGCUGAGAUAGCGCGCAGAACCCCGAUUGCGAAGGCAGCGUACCGGCUCCACACUGACGCUGAGGCACGAAAGCGUGGGUAUCGAACAGGAUUAGAUACCCCAGUAGUC